CCUACGGGAGGCAGCAGUGGGGAAUAUUGCACAAUGGGGGAAACCCUGAUGCAGCGACGCCGCGUGAGUGAAGAAGUCAUUCGUUAUGUAAAGCUCUAUCAGCAGGGAAGAAAAUGACGGUACCUGAGUAAGAAUCCCCGGCUAACUACGUUCCAGCAGCCGCGGUAAUACGUAGGGGGCAAGCGUUAUCCGGAUUUACUGGGUGUAACGGGAGCGUAGACGGCAGUGCAAGUCUGGAGUGAAAGGCGGGGGCUCAACCCCCGGACUGCUCUGGAAACUGUACGGCUGGAGUGCAGGAGAGGUAAGUGGAAUUCCUAGUGUAGCGGUGAAAUGCGUAGAUAUUAGGAGGAACACCAGUGGCGAAGGCGGCUUACUGGACUGUAACUGACGUUGAGGCUCGAAAGCGUGGGGAGCAAACAGGAUUAGAUACCCGAGUAGUC
RNAcentral lists this ribosomal RNA (440 nucleotides) under uncultured bacterium. Its description in RNAcentral is "partial 16S ribosomal RNA". It matches the Rfam family "Bacterial small subunit ribosomal RNA", at positions 338 to 795 of the family's 1533-position model. The record is from RNAcentral.